GACGAACGCUGGCGGCGUGCCUAAUACAUGCAAGUAGAACGCUGAAGAGAGGAGCUUGCUCUUCUUGGAUGAGUUGCGAACGGGUGAGUAACGCGUAGGUAACCUGCCUUGUAGCGGGGGAUAACUAUUGGAAACGAUAGCUAAUACCGCAUAACAAUGGAUGACACAUGGCAUUUAUUUGAAAGGGGCAAUUGCUCCACUACAAGAUGGACCUGCGUUGUAUUAGCUAGUAGGUGAGGUAACGGCUCACCUAGGCGACGAUACAUAGCCGACCUGAGAGGGUGGUCGGCCACACUGGGACUGAGACACGGCCCAGACUCCUACGGGAGGCAGCAGUAGGGAAUCGUCGGCAAUGGGGGCAACCCUGACCGAGCAACGCCGCGUGAGUGAAGAAGGUUUUCGGAUCGUAAAGCUCGGUUGUAAGUCAAGAACGAGUGUGAGAGUGGAAAGUUCACACUGUGACGGUAGCUUACCAGAAAGGGACGGCUAACUACGUG
This 497-nucleotide ribosomal RNA is filed under the name uncultured bacterium. RNAcentral describes it as "partial 16S ribosomal RNA". It matches the Rfam family "Bacterial small subunit ribosomal RNA", at positions 28 to 507 of the family's 1533-position model. The record is from RNAcentral.